UACGGAGGGGACUAGCGUUGUUCGGAAUUACUGGGCGUAAAGCGUGCGCAGGCGGUGAUGUAAGACAGGUGUGAAAUCCCCGGGCUUAACCUGGGAACUGCAUUUGUGACUGCAUCGCUGGAGUGCGGCAGAGGGGGAUGGAAUUCCGCGUGUAGCAGUGAAAUGCGUAGAUAUGCGGAGGAACACCGAUGGCGAAGGCAAUCCCCUGGGCCUGCACUGACGCUCAUGCACGAAAGCGUGGGGAGCAAACAGG
Molecule: ribosomal RNA, 253 nt
Filed under: uncultured bacterium
Lineage: Bacteria
Description: partial 16S ribosomal RNA
Rfam family: Bacterial small subunit ribosomal RNA
Source: RNAcentral